RNAcentral lists this ribosomal RNA (429 nucleotides) under Actinomycetes bacterium. Its description in RNAcentral is "Actinobacteria bacterium partial 16S ribosomal RNA". It matches the Rfam family "Bacterial small subunit ribosomal RNA", at positions 355 to 776 of the family's 1533-position model. The record is from RNAcentral. Lineage: Bacteria; Bacillati; Actinomycetota; Actinomycetes.
UAGGGAAUCUUCCGCAAUGGGCGAAAGCCUGACGGAGCAACGCCGCGUGAGUGAUGAAGGUCUUCGGAUCGUAAAACUCUGUUAUUAGGGAAGAACAAAUGUGUAAGUAACUAUGCACGUCUUGACGGUACCUAAUCAGAAAGCCACGGCUAACUACGUGCCAGCAGCCGCGGUAAUACGUCGGUGGCACGCGUUAUCCGGAUUUAUUGGGCGUAAAGCGCGCGUAGGCGGUUUUUUAAGUCUGAUGUGAAAGCCCACGGCUCAACCGUGGAGGGUCAUUGGAAACUGAGAAGCUUGGGUGCAGAAGAGGAAAGUGGAAUUCCAGGUGUAGCGGUGAAAUGCGCAGAAAUAUGGAGGAACGCCAGUGGCGAAGGCGACUUUCUGGUCUGUAACUGACGCUGAUGUGCGAAAGCGUGGGGAUCAAACAGG